Molecule: ribosomal RNA, 253 nt
Filed under: uncultured bacterium
Lineage: Bacteria
Description: partial 16S ribosomal RNA
Rfam family: Bacterial small subunit ribosomal RNA
Source: RNAcentral
UACGAAGGGGGCUAGCGUUGCUCGGAAUCACUGGGCGUAAAGGGUGCGUAGGCGGGUCUUUAAGUCAGGGGUGAAAUCCUGGAGCUCAACUCCAGAACUGCCUUUGAUACUGAGGAUCUUGAGUUCGGGAGAGGUGAGUGGAACUGCGAAUGUAGAGGUGAAAUUCGUAGAUAUUCGCAAGAACACCAGUGGCGAAGGCGGCUCACUGGCCCGAUACUGACGCUGAGGCACGAAAGCGUGGGGAGCAGACAGG